UAUUUUUAGCGUGCAUGGAUUUGAAACAUGUUGUCAAAACACGAAAGAAGAAAAAUAUAAAAUCGAUUUGUCGGAUCGGCGGUGUUUGAAAAAUAAUUUUUACGUUCUAUUUGAGUGGUAGGCAGUGAAAAGAACCAGACACAAGUAUUGGGGAGCCGAGCACUUUCCAGAAGUGCUGCUGCGGGGAAGUAAUCAUCCUAGCGGAAUCGUCAAUUCCUGGCGAACCAGUGUCUUUCCGGUCUUUCGCAAACCCGGAGGAUGACCGCUUCAUUUAUCACGACCAACCAUUCUUCACCUGAAUCACAAAUCGUACGCACUCCCGAGGAAAAGUGCAUGUUUUAGGUGGCUGCCAUGGAUUCGACGCCCAGUGUUUAUCUGAAUGCAGGAAUAAUUAUAACGUAUCUGUAAAGCUAUCAGUACACACUUUGCCAAAUGUGCAAAUAUUUGCCAAAUUUUGACAAAUUUAUUUGUCAUAUGUGUACUGACCAAAUAUAUUUGCACAAACAUUGAUGUGCAAAUAUUUGUCUAACUUUGCAAUAGCCAAUACUUGAAGAUAUGAGGAAAUAUAUAUUGCAAAAGUAUGCCAAAACAAGUUUUAUUUGGUCAACUUUGCAACUCUGUUCAGUUCUCGAGUGGCAAACAUGGACAAAUAAGAGUUUGUCAAAUGUUUGUCCACCGUGUACUGAC
Long non-coding RNA from Aedes aegypti (yellow fever mosquito), 687 nucleotides. RefSeq lists it as uncharacterized. The record is from RefSeq and is a predicted model, not a curated record. Lineage: Eukaryota; Metazoa; Arthropoda; Insecta; Diptera; Culicidae. The transcript is spliced from 2 exons.